This 467-nucleotide ribosomal RNA is filed under the name uncultured bacterium. RNAcentral's name for it is "partial 16S ribosomal RNA". It matches the Rfam family "Bacterial small subunit ribosomal RNA", at positions 29 to 507 of the family's 1533-position model. The record is from RNAcentral.
ACGAACGCUGGCGGCGUGCUUAACACAUGCAAGUCGAACGGAAAGGCCCUGCUUUUGUGGGGUGCUCGAGUGGCGAACGGGGGAGUAACACGUGAGUAACCUGCCCUUGACUUUGGGAUAACUUCAGGAAACUGGGGCUAAUACCGGAGAGGAGCUCCUGCUGCAUGGUGGGGGUUGGAAAGUUUCGGCGGUUGGGGAUGGACUCGCGGCUUAUCAGCUUGUUGGUGGGGUAGUGGCUUACCAAGGCUUUGACGGGUAGCCGGCCUGAGAGGGUGACCGGCCACAUUGGGACUGAGAUACGGCCCAGACUCCUACGGGAGGCAGCAGUGGGGAAUAUUGCACAAUGGGCGGAAGCCUGAUGCAGCAACGCCGCGUGCGGGAUGACGGCCUUCGGGUUGUAAACCGCUUUCGCCUGUGACGAAGCGUGAGUGACGGUAAUGGGUAAAGAAGCACCGGCUAACUACGUG